This is a long non-coding RNA of Pygocentrus nattereri (red-bellied piranha), 462 nucleotides long. RefSeq lists it as uncharacterized. The record is from RefSeq and is a predicted model, not a curated record. NCBI's taxonomy places the organism in Eukaryota, Metazoa, Chordata, Actinopteri, Characiformes, Serrasalmidae. The transcript has 4 exons.
UCAGGAUCUCCUCCUCCUCCUUUUGGAUGCGUGCCUCCACUGAGGUGUCAUAGCUGCUGCUGGGUGAAUGGCUGAUUAUGGCUGAGGAAGUGUCCCUGCACGAGGAAAGGGGUAAAAGCUGGAAGUGAGAUUCUCACUUAACUUCCAUUAUGUGAACAUAUGUCCAUACCUCUGUGUGGCAACGGAGGCAGCGGCAUCCAGAGCGAACUGUCUCAUGACACUCUCCUCCAGCCUGCAGCUGAGCCAGAGCCUGCUGCAUCCUCUCAACCUUCUCCACGUAAACCUGCUUCUUCUUCAGCUGCACACAUACACACAGAGAACAUGCAGGCUGUUUGGAGAAAAUUCUGGAAGGAGAACUCACUCUGAGCCAGAAGCUGCGAGAUGGUUUUGCGGUUGUCCUCUGUGCCCUCGCACUCUUUGGCUGCUAGCUGCUUGUUGGCUGUCUCCAUACGUUCUAUAAUG